ACUUGCCUCUUGGACUGGGACAACUGUUGGAAACGACAGCUAAUACCGGAUAUUAUGAGAUUCUCGCAUGAGAAAUUUAUGAAAGCUAUAUGCGCCAAGAGAGAGCCUUGCGUUCCAUUAGCUAGUUGGUGGGGUAACGGCCCACCAAGGCGACGAUGGAUAGCCGGCCUGAGAGGGUGAACGGCCACAAGGGGACUGAGACACGGCCCUUACUCCUACGGGAGGCAGCAGUGGGGAAUAUUGGACAAUGGGCCACAAGCCUGAUCCAGCAAUUCUGUGUGCACGAUGAAGGUCUUCGGAUUGUAAAGUGCUUUCAGUUGGGAAGAAGAAAGUGACGGUACCAACAGAAGAAGCGACGGCUAAAUACGUGCCAGCAGCCGCGGUAAUACGUAUGUCGCAAGCGUUAUCCGGAUUUAUUGGGCGUAAAGCGCGUCUAGGCGGAAAAAUAAGUCUGAUGUUAAAAUGCGGGGCUCAACUCCGUAUUGCGUUGGAAACUGUUUUUCUAGAGUACUGGAGAGGUGGGCGGAACUACAAGUGUAGAGGUGAAAUUCGUAGAUAUUUGUAGGAAUGCCGAUGGAGAAGUCAGCUCACUGGACAGAUACUGACGCUGAAGCGCGAAAGCGUG
This 625-nucleotide ribosomal RNA is filed under the name uncultured bacterium. RNAcentral describes it as "bacterial SSU rRNA". It matches the Rfam family "Bacterial small subunit ribosomal RNA", at positions 124 to 763 of the family's 1533-position model. The record is from RNAcentral.